RNAcentral lists this ribosomal RNA (1907 nucleotides) under Campylobacter coli. RNAcentral describes it as "partial 23S ribosomal RNA". It matches the Rfam family "Bacterial large subunit ribosomal RNA", at positions 1 to 1770 of the family's 2925-position model. Lineage: Bacteria; Pseudomonadati; Campylobacterota; Epsilonproteobacteria; Campylobacterales; Campylobacteraceae. The record is from RNAcentral.
AAAAAAGGUAAGCUACUAAGAGCGAAUGGUGGAUGCCUUGACUGGUAAAGGCGAUGAAGGACGUACUAGACUGCGAUAAGCUACGGGGAGCUGUCAAGAAGCUUUGAUCCGUAGAUUUCCGAAUGGGGCAACCCAAUGUAUAGAGAUAUACAUUACCUAUAUAGGAGCGAACGAGGGGAAUUGAAACAUCUUAGUACCCUCAGGAAAAGAAAUCAAUAGAGAUUGCGUCAGUAGCGGCGAGCGAAAGCGCAAGAGGGCAAACCCAGUGCUUGCACUGGGGGUUGUAGGACUGCAAUGUGCAAGAGGUGAGUUUAGCAGAACAUUCUGGAAAGUAUAGCCAUAGAGGGUGAUAGUCCCGUAUGCGAAAAACAAACCUUAGCUAGCAGUAUCCUGAGUAGGGCGGGACACGAGAAAUCCUGUCUGAAGCUGGGUCGACCACGAUCCAACCCUAAAUACUAAUACCAGAUCGAUAGUGCACAAGUACCGUGAGGGAAAGGUGAAAAGAACUGAGGUGAUCAGAGUGAAAUAGAACCUGAAACCAUUUGCUUACAAUCAUUCAGAGCCCUAUGUAGCAAUACAGGGUGAUGGACUGCCUUUUGCAUAAUGAGCCUGCGAGUUGUGGUGUCUGGCAAGGUUAAGCAAACGCGAAGCCGUAGCGAAAGCGAGUCUGAAUAGGGCGCUUAGUCAGAUGCUGCAGACCCGAAACGAAGUGAUCUAUCCAUGAGCAAGUUGAAGCUAGUGUAAGAACUAGUGGAGGACUGAACCCAUAGGCGUUGAAAAGCCCCGGGAUGACUUGUGGAUAGGGGUGAAAGGCCAAUCAAACUUCGUGAUAGCUGGUUCUCUCCGAAAUAUAUUUAGGUAUAGCGUUGUGUCGUAAUAUAAGGGGGUAGAGCACUGAAUGGGCUAGGGCAUACACCAAUGUACCAAACCCUAUCAAACUCCGAAUACCUUAUAUGUAAUCACAGCAGUCAGGCGGCGAGUGAUAAAAUCCGUCGUCAAGAGGGAAACAACCCAGACUACCAGCUAAGGUCCCUAAAUCUUACUUAAGUGGAAAACGAUGUGAAGUUACUUAAACAACCAGGAGGUUGGCUUAGAAGCAGCCAUCCUUUAAAGAAAGCGUAAUAGCUCACUGGUCUAGUGAUUUUGCGCGGAAAAUAUAACGGGGCUAAAGUAAGUACCGAAGCUGUAGACUUGCGCACAACUUAGAUUAUUUAAGUUUAGAAUAUGAGAAACUAAGUUAUAUGUUUAGUUAUAUUUUUACUGAUUUUUAUAGAGUAAAGAUAGAAAUAAAACUUAGUAAAAUCAGUAAAAAUAUUCUUAGACUAAAGUUAAGUAGUUUAAGUUGUGUGCAAGUGGUAGGAGAGCGUUCUAUUUGCGCCGAAGGUAUACCGGUAAGGAGUGCUGGAGCGAAUAGAAGUGAGCAUGCAGGCAUGAGUAGCGAUAAUUAAUGUGAGAAUCAUUAACGCCGUAAACCCAAGGUUUCCUACGCGAUGCUCGUCAUCGUAGGGUUAGUCGGGUCCUAAGUCGAGUCCGAAAGGGGUAGACGAUGGCAAAUUGGUUAAUAUUCCAAUACCAACAUUAGUGUGCGAUGGAAGGACGCUUAGGGCUAAGGGGGCUAGCGGAUGGAAGUGCUAGUCUAAGGUCGUAGGAGGUUAUACAGGCAAAUCCGUAUAACAAUACUCCGAGAACUGAAAGGCUUUUUGAAGUCUUCGGAUGGAUAGAAGAACCCCUGAUGCCAUCGAGCCAAGAAAAGUUUCUAAGUUUAGCUAAUGUUGCCCGUACCGUAAACCGACACAGGUGGGUGGGAUGAGUAUUCUAAGGCGCGUGGAAGAACUCUCUUUAAGGAACUCUGCAAAAUAGCACCGUAUCUUCGGUAUAAGGUGUGGUUCGCUUCGUAUUAGGAUUUA